RNAcentral lists this ribosomal RNA (492 nucleotides) under uncultured bacterium. RNAcentral's name for it is "partial 16S ribosomal RNA". It matches the Rfam family "Bacterial small subunit ribosomal RNA", at positions 27 to 507 of the family's 1533-position model. The record is from RNAcentral.
GAGUGAACGCUGGCGGUAGGCCUAACACAUGCAGUCGAACGGCAGCACAGUAAGAGCUUGCUCUUACGGGUGGCGAGUGGCGGACGGGUGAGGAAUACAUCGGAAUCUACUUUUUCGUGGGGGAUAACGUAGGGAAACUUACGCUAAUACCGCAUACGACCUACGGGUGAAAGCAGGGGAUCUUCGGACCUUGCGCGAUUGAAUGAGCCGAUGUCGGAUUAGCUAGUUGGCGGGGUAAAGGCCCACCAAGGCGACGAUCCGUAGCUGGUCUGAGAGGAUGAUCAGCCACACUGGAACUGAGACACGGUCCAGACUCCUACGGGAGGCAGCAGUGGGGAAUAUUGGACAAUGGGCGCAAGCCUGAUCCAGCCAUACCGCGUGGGUGAAGAAGGCCUUCGGGUUGUAAAGCCCUUUUGUUGGGAAAGAAAAGCAGCAGGUUAAUACCCCGCUGUUCUGACGGUACCCAAAGAAUAAGCACCGGCUAACUUCGUG